Molecule: non-coding RNA, 201 nt
Organism: Meleagris gallopavo (turkey)
Lineage: Eukaryota; Metazoa; Chordata; Aves; Galliformes; Phasianidae
Source: RefSeq, a predicted model, not a curated record
ACAGGCUAAUGUGUGAAGAAUUCCUGUUUCAAUAACUACUUGAUUACUCACUUACUCAAUCGCAAGUAGAACAACAGAACACAAAGUUGAGUGCCAGAGAUAACAGCUACAACAGACUACACCCAAACAGUGCUCUAAGCCAGACUUCAAGAGUCAAAGGCCACAGCGCUUAGACGGAGGCUGAAAUGCCUAACCAGACAC